GUGGAUAACUGUGGUAAUUCUAGAGCUAAUACAUGCACCAAAGCUCCGAUUUUUUGACGAGCGCAUCUAUUAGACCAAAAACCAAUCGAGAUUAUUCGCGCAUUCGUGCUCGAACUUCUCGUAACUUUGGUGACUCUGAAUAGUUUAGCUGAUCGCAUGGUCUCGCACCGGCGACGUAUCUAUCAAGUGUCUGCCUUAUCAACUUUCGAUGGUAGUUUAUAUGCCUACCAUGGUUGUAACGGGUAACGGAGAAUAAGGGUUCGACUCCGGAGAGGGAGCCUGAGAAACGGCUACCACAUCCAAGGAAGGCAGCAGGCGCGCAAAUUACCCACUCUCAGCACGAGGAGGUAGUGACGAAAAAUAACGAGACCGUUCUCUUCGAGGCCGGUUAUCGGAAUGAGUACAACUUAAAGCCGUUAAUAAGGAUCUAUGAGAGGGCAAGUCUGGUGCCAGCAGCCGCGGUAAUUCCAGCUCUCAAAGUGUAUAUCGUCAUUGCUGCGGUUAAAAAGCUCGUAGUUGGAUUUAAGCUCGAUGACUUGGUCCGUCCAUGGGAUGAGAACUGAGCUCAUCGGCUAAUUUUGUUGGUUUUGUUUAGGUAACCUUAAUCGGUCGCCUAGGCUGGCUAGCGAGUUUACUUUGAAAAAAUUAGAGUGCUCAACGCGGGCUUAAUGCCUGAAUAGUCGUGCAUGGAAUAAUGGAAUAGGAUCUCGGUUCUAUUUUGUUGGUUUUCUGAUCUGAGAUAAUGGUUAAGAGGGACAGACGGGGGCAUUCGUAUCGCUGCGUGAGAGGUGAAAUUCUUGGACCGUAGCGAGACGCCCGACUGCGAAAGCAUUUGCCAAGAAUGUCUUCAUUAAUCAAGAACGAAAGUCAGAGGUUCGAAGGC
Molecule: ribosomal RNA, 883 nt
Filed under: Camallanus sp. 1 EOP-2020
Lineage: Eukaryota; Metazoa; Nematoda; Chromadorea; Rhabditida; Camallanidae
Description: SSU rRNA
Rfam family: Eukaryotic small subunit ribosomal RNA
Source: RNAcentral